Molecule: transfer RNA, 76 nt
Filed under: Chitinophaga agrisoli
Lineage: Bacteria; Pseudomonadati; Bacteroidota; Chitinophagia; Chitinophagales; Chitinophagaceae
Description: Chitinophaga sp. BN140078 tRNA-Thr
Rfam family: tRNA
About the family: Transfer RNA (tRNA) molecules are approximately 80 nucleotides in length. Their secondary structure includes four short double-helical elements and three loops (D, anti-codon, and T loops). Further hydrogen bonds mediate the characteristic L-shaped molecular structure. tRNAs have two regions of fundamental functional importance: the anti-codon, which is responsible for specific mRNA codon recognition, and the 3' end, to which the tRNAs corresponding amino acid is attached (by aminoacyl-tRNA synthetases). tRNAs cope with the degeneracy of the genetic code in two manners: having more than one tRNA (with a specific anti-codon) for a particular amino acid; and 'wobble' base-pairing, i.e. permitting non-standard base-pairing at the 3rd anti-codon position.
Source: RNAcentral
GCCAGAUUAGCUCAAUUGGUAGAGCGCCGGUUUUGUACUCCGGGGGUUGCGGGUUCGAGUCCUGCAUCUGGCUCCA